Molecule: non-coding RNA, 163 nt
Filed under: Corynebacterium otitidis
Lineage: Bacteria; Bacillati; Actinomycetota; Actinomycetes; Mycobacteriales; Corynebacteriaceae
Also listed under: 1 other name
Description: Turicella otitidis FMN sequence
Rfam family: FMN riboswitch aptamer (RFN element)
About the family: The RFN element is a highly conserved domain that is found frequently in the 5'-untranslated regions of prokaryotic mRNAs that encode for flavin mononucleotide (FMN) biosynthesis and transport proteins.
Source: RNAcentral
CGUAAAUCUCAGGGCGGGGUGGAAUUCCCCACCGGCGGUAGCGCGGGAGCGAUGAUUCCCGCGGAGCCCGCGACCCCCGUCGCCGCGACGGUUUCCCGGCGGCGGGGCUGACCCGGUCGAAGUCCGGGGCCGACGGUCACAGUCCGGAUGGGAGAGAUGAAAG